UGAGGAACACGUGAAGAAUCUGCCCUCCACUUUGGGAUAACACCGGGAAACCGGUGCUAAUACCGAAUAUUGAAACAUAAGUGGCAUCACUGAGUUUUGAAAGAAUUUCGGUGGAGGAUGACUUCGCGGCCUAUCAGCUAGUUGGUGAGGUAAUGGCUCACCAAGGCAACGACGGGUAGCCGGCCUGAGAGGGCGACCGGCCACACUGGGACUGAGACACGGCCCAGACUCCUACGGGAGGCAGCAGUGGGGAAUAUUGGGCAAUGGAGGAAACUCUGACCCAGCGACGCCGCGUGCGGGAUGAAGGCCUUCGGGUUGUAAACCGCUUUCAGUAGGGAAGAAGCGAAAGUGACGGUACCUACAAAAGAAGCACCGGCUAACUAUGUGCCAGCAGCCGCGGUAAUACAUAGGGUGCAAGCGUUGUCCGGAAUUAUUGGGCGUAAAGAGCUCGUAGGUCGUUUGUUACGUCGGAUGUGAAAACCUGAGGCUCAACCUCAGGCCUGCAUUCGAUACGGGCAAACUAGAGUUUGGUAGGGGAGACUGGAAUUCCUGGUGUAGCGGUGGAAUGCGCAGAUAUCAGGAGGAACACCAAUGGCGAAGGCAGGU
This 606-nucleotide ribosomal RNA is filed under the name uncultured Actinomycetes bacterium. Its description in RNAcentral is "bacterial SSU rRNA". It matches the Rfam family "Bacterial small subunit ribosomal RNA", at positions 107 to 726 of the family's 1533-position model. Lineage: Bacteria; Bacillati; Actinomycetota; Actinomycetes. The record is from RNAcentral.